AGCACCGGCUAACUCCGUGCCAGCAGCCGCGGUAAUACGGAGGGUGCGAGCGUUAAUCGGAAUUACUGGGCGUAAAGCGCAUGCAGGUGGUUUGUUAAGUCAGAUGUGAAAGCCCGGGGCUCAACCUCGGAAUUGCAUUUGAAACUGGCAGACUAGAGUACUGUAGAGGGGGGUAGAAUUUCAGGUGUAGCGGUGAAAUGCGUAGAGAUCUGAAGGAAUACCGGUGGCGAAGGCGGCCCCCUGGACAGAUACUGACACUCAGAUGCGAAAGCGUGGGGAGCAAACAGGAUUAGAUACCCUGGUAGUCCACGCCGUAAACGAUGUCUACUUGGAGGUUGUGGCCUUGAGCCGUGGCUUUCGGAGCUAACGCGUUAAGUAGACCGCCUGGGGAGUACGGUCGCAAGAUUAAAACUCAAAUGAAUUGACGGGGGCCCGCACAAGCGGUGGAGCAUGUGGUUUAAUUCGAUGCAACGCGAAGAACCUUACCUACUCUUGACAUCCAGAGAACUUUCCAGAGAUGGAUUGGUGCCUUCGGGAACUCUGAGACAGGUGCUGCAUGGCUGUCGUCAGCUCGUGUUGUGAAAUGUUGGGUUAAGUCCCGCAACGAGCGCAACCCUUAUCCUUGUUUGCCAGCGAGUAAUGUCGGGAACUCCAGGGAGACUGCCGGUGAUAAACCGGAGGAAGGUGGGGACGACGUCAAGUCAUCAUGGCCCUUACGAGUAGGGCUACACACGUGCUACAAUGGCGCAUACAGAGGGCGGCCAACUUGCGAAAGUGAGCGAAUCCCAAAAAGUGCGUCGUAGUCCGGAUUGGAGUCUGCAACUCGACUCCAUGAAGUCGGAAUCGCUAGUAAUCGUGGAUCAGAAUGCCACGGUGAAUACGUUCCCGGGCCUUGUACACACCGCCCGUCACACCAUGGGAGUGGGCUGCAAAAGAAGUAGGUAGUUUAACCUUCGGGGGGACGCUUACCACUUUGUGGUUCAUGACUGGGGUGAAGUCGUAACAAGGUAGCGCUAGGGGAACCUGGCGCUGGAU
Molecule: ribosomal RNA, 1035 nt
Filed under: Vibrio parahaemolyticus
Lineage: Bacteria; Pseudomonadati; Pseudomonadota; Gammaproteobacteria; Vibrionales; Vibrionaceae
Also listed under: 5 other names
Description: bacterial SSU rRNA
Rfam family: Bacterial small subunit ribosomal RNA
Source: RNAcentral